RNAcentral lists this ribosomal RNA (351 nucleotides) under uncultured bacterium. RNAcentral describes it as "bacterial SSU rRNA". It matches the Rfam family "Bacterial small subunit ribosomal RNA", at positions 30 to 371 of the family's 1533-position model. The record is from RNAcentral.
AUUGAACGCUGGCGGCGCGCCUAAUACAUGCAAGUCGAGCGAGAAGACGUAGCAAUACGUUUGUAAAGCGGCGAACGGGUGAGGAAUACAUGGGUAACCUACCCUAGAGUGGGGAAUAACUAGCCGAAAGGUUAGCUAAUACCGCGUACGCUCCUUGGACUUCGGUUCAGGGAGGAAAGCGAUGCCGAGGGUAUCGCGCUCUUGGAUGGGCUCAUGUCCUAUCAGCUUGNGGUGAGGUAACGGCUCACCAAGGCUUCGACGGGUAGCUGGUCUGAGAGGACGAUCAGCCACACUGGCACUGCGACACGGGCCAGACUCCUACGGGAGGCAGCAGUAAGGAAUAUUGCGCAA